RNAcentral lists this ribosomal RNA (490 nucleotides) under uncultured bacterium. RNAcentral's name for it is "partial 16S ribosomal RNA". It matches the Rfam family "Bacterial small subunit ribosomal RNA", at positions 30 to 507 of the family's 1533-position model. The record is from RNAcentral.
AUUGAACGCUGGCGGCAGGCCUAACACAUGCAAGUCGAACGGUAACAGGAAGAAGCUUGCUUCUUUGCUGACGAGUGGCGGACGGGUGAGUAAUGUCUGGGAAGCUGCCUGAUGGAGGGGGAUAACUACUGGAAACGGUAGCUAAUACCGCAUAACGUCGCAAGACCAAAAAGGGGGACCUUCGGGCCUCUUGCCAUCGGAUGUGCCCAGAUGGGAUUAGCUAGUAGGUGGGGUAACGGCUCACCUAGGCGACGAUCCCUAGCUGGUCUGAGAGGAUGACCAGCCACACUGGAACUGAGACACGGUCCAGACUCCUACGGGAGGCAGCAGUGGGGAAUAUUGCACAAUGGGCGCAAGCCUGAUGCAGCCAUGCCGCGUGUAUGAAGAAGGCCUUCGGGUUGUAAAGUACUUUCAGCGGGGAGGAAGGGAGUAAAGUUAAUACCUUUGCUCAUUGACGUUACCCGCAGAAGAAGCACCGGCUAACUCCGUG